This 822-nucleotide ribosomal RNA is filed under the name Nostoc sp. 'Nephroma arcticum cyanobiont' 57_Rikkinen_et_al._003002. RNAcentral's name for it is "bacterial SSU rRNA". It matches the Rfam family "Bacterial small subunit ribosomal RNA", at positions 64 to 929 of the family's 1533-position model. Lineage: Bacteria; Bacillati; Cyanobacteriota; Cyanophyceae; Nostocales; Nostocaceae. The record is from RNAcentral.
GAACGGUGCUUUCGGGCACAGUGGCGGACGGGUGAGUAACGCGUGAGAAUCUGGCUCUAGGUCUGGGACAACCACUGGAAACGGUGGCUAAUACCGGAUGUGCCGAGAGGUGAAAGGCUUGCUGCCUAGAGAUGAGCUCGCGUCUGAUUAGCUAGUUGGAAGUGUAAUGGACUCCCAAGGCGACGAUCAGUAGCUGGUCUGAGAGGACGAUCAGCCACACUGGGACUGAGACACGGCCCAGACUCCUACGGGAGGCAGCAGUGGGGAAUUUUCCGCAAUGGGCGAAAGCCUGACGGAGCAAUACCGCGUGAGGGAGGAAGGCUCUUGGGUCGUAAACCUCUUUUCUCAGGGAAGAANANAAUGACGGUACUUGAGGAAUAAGCAUCGGCUAACUCCGUGCCAGCAGCCGCGGUAAUACGGAGGAUGCAAGCGUUAUCCGGAAUGAUUGGGCGUAAAGGGUCCGCAGGUGGCAAUGNAAGUCUGCUGUUAAAGAGUCUAGCUCAACUAGAUAAAAGCAGUGGAAACUACAUAGCUAGAGUACGUUCGGGGCAGAGGGAAUUCCUGGUGUAGCGGUGAAAUGCGUAGAGAUCAGGAAGAACACCGGUGGCGAAGGCGCUCUGCUAGGCCGUAACUGACACUGAGGGACGAAAGCUAGGGGAGCGAAUGGGAUUAGAUACCCCAGUAGUCCUAGCCGUAAACGAUGGAUACUAGGCGUGGCUUGUAUCGACCCGAGCCGUGCCGUAGCUAACGCGUUAAGUAUCCCGCCUGGGGAGUACGCCGGCAACGGUGAAACUCAAAGGAAUUGACGGGGGCCCGCACAAG